UGGGGAAUAUUGGGCAAUGGGGGAAACCCUGACCCAGCAACGCCGCGUGAGGGAAGAAGGUCUUCGGAUUGUAAACCUCUGUCCUUGGGGACGAAGAAAGUGACGGUACCCAAGGAGGAAGCCCCGGCUAACUACGUGCCAGCAGCCGCGGUAAUACGUAGGGGGCUAGCGUUGUCCGGAAUUACUGGGCGUAAAGGGAGCGUAGGCGGCUCUGUAAGUUAUAUGUGAAAUACCCGUGCUUAACAUGGGGGCUGCAUGUAAUACUGCGGGGCUUGAGUGCAGGAGAGGAAAGUGGAAUUCCUAGUGUAGCGGUGAAAUGCGUAGAUAUUAGGAGGAACACCAGUGGCGAAGGCGACUUUCUGGACUGUAACUGACGCUGAGGCUCGAAAGCGUGGGGAGCAAACAGG
RNAcentral lists this ribosomal RNA (407 nucleotides) under uncultured bacterium. RNAcentral's name for it is "bacterial SSU rRNA". It matches the Rfam family "Bacterial small subunit ribosomal RNA", at positions 355 to 776 of the family's 1533-position model. The record is from RNAcentral.